Molecule: transfer RNA, 68 nt
Filed under: uncultured Faecousia sp.
Lineage: Bacteria; Bacillati; Bacillota; Clostridia; Eubacteriales; Oscillospiraceae
Rfam family: tRNA
About the family: Transfer RNA (tRNA) molecules are approximately 80 nucleotides in length. Their secondary structure includes four short double-helical elements and three loops (D, anti-codon, and T loops).
Source: RNAcentral
AGUGUAGCUCAACUGGUUGAGCUUCCGGCUUUUAACCGGAAGGCUGUGGGUUCGAAUCCCACCACUUU